UGGGGAAUAUUGGACAAUGGGCGAAAGCCUGAUCCAGCCAUGCCGCGUGUGUGAAGAAGGUCUUCGGAUUGUAAAGCACUUUAAGUUGGGAGGAAGGGCAGUAAGCGAAUACCUUGCUGUUUUGACGUUACCGACAGAAUAAGCACCGGCUAACUCUGUGCCAGCAGCCGCGGUAAUACAGAGGGUGCAGGCGUUAAUCGGAAUUACUGGGCGUAAAGCGCGCGUAGGUGGUUCGUUAAGUUGAAUGUGAAAGCCCCGGGCUCAACCUGGGAACUGCAUCCAAAACUGGCGAGCUAGAGUAGGGCAGAGGGUGGUGGAAUUUCCUGUGUAGCGGUGAAAUGCGUAGAUAUAGGAAGGAACACCAGUGGCGAAGGCGACCACCUGGGCUCAUACUGACACUGAGGUGCGAAAGCGUGGGGAGCAAACAGG
This 429-nucleotide ribosomal RNA is filed under the name Pseudomonadota bacterium. Its description in RNAcentral is "Proteobacteria bacterium partial 16S ribosomal RNA". It matches the Rfam family "Bacterial small subunit ribosomal RNA", at positions 355 to 776 of the family's 1533-position model. The record is from RNAcentral. Lineage: Bacteria; Pseudomonadati; Pseudomonadota.